UUGAAAGGGAAACGAUUGAAGUCAGUCGUGCUGGCGUGAAAUCAACCACUACACCGCUGGAUCAUGUUGGCGGGUGAGCCUAAAAACCACCGCGUCAACAUUUUUAAGCGUGUAGUGGUGCACUUUUGUGUCGGCUGGUUAGCAUCAAUUUCGACCGUCAUAAAAAGGCUGGAGGGAUGUGGCUCCUUCGGGAGUGUUAUAACCUUUAGCGGAAUGUGGUGUUCGGGAUUGAGGAUUGCAACGAAUACCUUUAGGGCUGUUCCACCUGGCUUCUCUUUGGUAUCCUGGUGACGACAGCUUGCUGACGUCGUUAGGAUUCGCCUUUGAACAGGCUAGAGUGUGAGCAAAUUCGUUAAGGAUGUUGACGUA
Molecule: ribosomal RNA, 369 nt
Filed under: uncultured Glomeromycotina
Lineage: Eukaryota; Fungi; Glomeromycota
Description: LSU rRNA
Source: RNAcentral